Molecule: non-coding RNA, 28 nt
Filed under: Bombyx mori (domestic silkworm)
Lineage: Eukaryota; Metazoa; Arthropoda; Insecta; Lepidoptera; Bombycidae
Source: RNAcentral
UGUCAAACUUGGGGUCCGCUAGCCGUAA